Molecule: non-coding RNA, 70 nt
Organism: Podarcis lilfordi (Lilford's wall lizard)
Lineage: Eukaryota; Metazoa; Chordata; Lepidosauria; Squamata; Lacertidae
Source: the annotation of a GenBank genome assembly
GCCUUUGCUCAGUCAGCAGAACACGAUACUUUUAAUCUUGAGGCUGUGGGUUCAAGCCCCACAUUGCGCA